UUUCCGUAGGUGAACCUGCGGAAGGAUCAUUGCACACACGAUGCAGCAAACUAGCGAACUGUGUUUGUCCCCCACCUACCCCAAACACGAGGGGCCGCAUCUGGAGGUGCGGCUGUCGACGGCAAGGUCCCGACCUUCGGGUCCCCGCAGUGGUUCCCGCAAGCGGGCUGAUCAUGUCGCCGUCUGGGUGUCCCGCGCGGGCUCUCGCCUUGCCUUAGGGUUGGGCGACGCGGGCAUUCUCCUCCCUUCGAUGGCGUCGUCCCCUCCUCCGGGAGAGCGACACGCCUGAAGGGCCGUUUACAACUUUGCACCAUGUACAACACCAGUGAGUGAGUAUACCUGGGUCCCGGUUCCGCUGCUGCCCUCGGGUGGUGCGGGAUGGGUCCAUAGGAACAAGAGUAAAUAAUAAAAACUCUCAGCAACGGAUAUCUUGGCUCUU
Molecule: unclassified non-coding RNA, 439 nt
Filed under: plant metagenome
Description: partial contains small subunit ribosomal RNA, internal transcribed spacer 1, and 5.8S ribosomal RNA
Source: RNAcentral